AGUGAACGCUGGCGGUAGGCCUAACACAUGCAAGUCGAACGGCAGCACAGUAAGAGCUUGCUCUUACGGGUGGCGAGUGGCGGACGGGUGAGGAAUACAUCGGAAUCUACUUUUUCGUGGGGGAUAACGUAGGGAAACUUACGCUAAUACCGCAUACGACCUACGGGUGAAAGCAGGGGAUCUUCGGACCUUGCGCGAUUGAAUGAGCCGAUGUAGGAUUAGCUAGUUGGCGGGGUAAAGGCCCACCAAGGCGACGAUCCGUAGCUGGUCUGAGAGGAUGGUCAGCAACACUGGAAAUGAGACACGGUCCAGACUCCUACGGGAGGCAGCAGUGGGGAAUAUUGGACAAAAGGCGCAAGCCUGAUCCAGCCAUACCGCGUGGGUGAAGAAGGCCUUCGGGUUGUAAAGCCCUUUUGUUGGGAAAGAAAAGCAGCAGGUUAAUACCCCGCUGUUCUGACGGUACCCAAAGAAUAAGCACCGGCUAACUUCGUG
This 492-nucleotide ribosomal RNA is filed under the name uncultured bacterium. RNAcentral describes it as "partial 16S ribosomal RNA". It matches the Rfam family "Bacterial small subunit ribosomal RNA", at positions 29 to 507 of the family's 1533-position model. The record is from RNAcentral.